Poeciliopsis prolifica (blackstripe livebearer) is the source of this 737-nucleotide long non-coding RNA. RefSeq lists it as uncharacterized. The transcript is spliced from 2 exons. The record is from RefSeq and is a predicted model, not a curated record. NCBI's taxonomy places the organism in Eukaryota, Metazoa, Chordata, Actinopteri, Cyprinodontiformes, Poeciliidae.
UCGACCUCUGAUCUUCAAGCUAGAGGGUUUUAUCAAAGUGUCCAAUUUAAAAUGGCAUUUUUUAUAACUGUCUACAAGCUGGAAACAACAACCAAACUGGCUGUUUAUUCAUCAAUCCAUCCAUUUUCUAACACCUUUUACCCAGUGGGGUCAAGAGGGUCACUGGUGCCCAUCUCCAGCCAACGUUCUGGACCAAAGGAGUCAGAGGACAAACCCAGCUGAUUGGACAGAGUGGAAUCCAUGUGAUGAAGACGUUUGAUCAUCAAUCUGCAGCCUCUCUGUCCUUUCUUCCUCACAGCGUCUAUGGUGUCCCGGGCCUUGUCUGCUCUGGUUUGGUUCUUCUGCAGUAUGCCCUCCAGCUCCGAAAGCGUAAAGACCCCAUCCAAUAGAAGGUCAUCCAGGAGCCGUUUCAGGAUUUCCUCAGAAACUCUCUCCACAAAUUCACUGCGAACCUUGAAAAGUUUUUCCUCUGCAGACAGAAACAGAAACAGGAUUCAUUCAAACUGACAUCUGAGAGACAAACAUGGUGGAGACAUGAUCAGCUGUUCAUGUCGCUCCAUCCAGAGAUUCCCCUCAGGCUGUUGAUCAGCUCCUCAGGUCUAAACCUGUUGUUGUGUUUCUGCCUCAUAUCUGAGUGAUGAGCUCUGAUUCUGUCUGAUGAGACUGAAUGAAGCUUCUGGUUCAUCACUUUCUUUCCUCACUGCAGGAAGAACAAUAAAACAAACACCUUCUAAAUA